RNAcentral lists this ribosomal RNA (486 nucleotides) under uncultured bacterium. RNAcentral describes it as "partial 16S ribosomal RNA". It matches the Rfam family "Bacterial small subunit ribosomal RNA", at positions 30 to 507 of the family's 1533-position model. The record is from RNAcentral.
AUUGAACGCUGGCGGCAUGCCUUACACAUGCAAGUCGAACGGCAGCACGGGUGCUUGCACCUGGUGGCGAGUGGCGAACGGGUGAGUAAUACAUCGGAACAUGUCCUGUAGUGGGGGAUAGCCCGGCGAAAGCCGGAUUAAUACCGCAUACGAUCUACGGAUGAAAGCGGGGGACCUUCGGGCCUCGCGCUAUAGGGUUGGCCGAUGGCUGAUUAGCUAGUUGGUGGGGUAAAGGCCUACCAAGGCGACGAUCAGUAGCUGGUCUGAGGGGACGACCAGCCACACUGGGACUGAGACACGGCCCAGACUCCUACGGGAGGCAGCAGUGGGGAAUUUUGGACAAAGGGCGAAAGCCUGAUCCAGCAAUGCCGCGUGUGUGAAGAAGGCCUUCGGGUUGUAAAGCACUUUUGUCCGGAAAGAAAUCCUUGGCCCUAAUACGGUCGGGGGAUGACGGUACCGGAAGAAUAAGCACCGGCUAACUACGUG